UCUUCCGAGUCAGGAGAGAGCCCCGCAACGCGGAGCCGCCGAAGGCGCAGGGCCCAUCGAACGAAAGGCCCGAACGCUCAGGCAAAAGGACUGACGAGGCGCC
RNAcentral lists this non-coding RNA (103 nucleotides) under Variovorax sp. RNAcentral's name for it is "Glycine sequence". It matches the Rfam family "Glycine riboswitch aptamer". From Rfam's summary of the family: This family represents the bacterial glycine riboswitch. Glycine riboswitches usually consist of two metabolite-binding aptamers domains with similar structures in tandem. Lineage: Bacteria; Pseudomonadati; Pseudomonadota; Betaproteobacteria; Burkholderiales; Comamonadaceae. The record is from RNAcentral.